GAAGAUUUGAAUUUAGAUGUGAACCAAGACAUAUAGGGACCUACUACAGAAGGGUGAUUCAAUCCAUCCACAUUUGCAGGAAAACUUGGACUAAUAAGAUCAUCUAAAUUGAAUGCAGUAUAAUGUCCCAACUGGGGUGGCUCAACACCAAAAGGAAUUGCCACUUUGUGCAAUUGGCUCAGAGAACUAUAAUUAAUUGAACUACUCGAAGUAACUGGUAUCUUUUUCUUCGGGAGAGUUGUAGGAAUAGGAUUUGUAGAGGUCCCCCCAUGUUGUGAAGCGCUUAAUUUCUUCUUAUUGUGAACAGACCAAGGAGAGGAUAUGUCUGCACCAGAAGCCUGACUUGCAGAGUCCACUGUAAUUUGGAAACCUGAACUACUAACUGAAGCAGGCUUCUUGCAAACAUCAGCAGGUUGUAAUGACCCUGAACCCAGAGCAUUCAAAUUCUUUUUAUUUUUCAUAGUCAAAGAAUCACUUUCAUCAAGAGUAUUCAUUGUCUUAUGAGCAGAACCCAGCAACCAAGGAACAGGUGCCUCCACUCCAGGAGGAAUAUCCACAUUAUCGAAGUGGGCUUGUAAAGAUGCAUACUUGUCAAAAUCCAUGAAGUCAUCAGAAAAGGAAUCAAAAUAAUCAUUUUCAUAUAACAAAUCGGAACUAACACCAUCUAUGAUGAUUGUUUUAUGUGAUCCUGGGGCAGAGCUUUUAGAAGGACAGAUAAGAUAAUUGGCCAAAGUGUCCUUAGCUUGAUUGUAACCUUCAGAAUUAUCUUCUAUAGCUAUCCCUUUAUUUUUUGAGUCAACUUUCUCAUCAAGGAUCAUGACAUCAGGGUAUUCUUCAUCGUUGUCAACAUCGAUAACUUCAUGAAGUAUAACCUGUUUGAGUUUAGGCUGGCCG
Molecule: unclassified non-coding RNA, 894 nt
Filed under: Hevea brasiliensis (rubber tree)
Lineage: Eukaryota; Viridiplantae; Streptophyta; Magnoliopsida; Malpighiales; Euphorbiaceae
Source: RNAcentral